AUGAGGCUGACCUCAACAAAUCUAUCCAUCUCCAGCAGAGAAGCAUUGCGGAAUUUUGCUGACUGGCUUUUACGUGUUGGAAAUGGCACUGAACCUUCUGUUCCUGUUCCAAAUGAACCCAACAACACAUUUAUAGAGAUCCCCCAAUAUCUCCUUUUGAACCCAGAUUCUAGGAAUAUAGAUGGAUUGAUAUCGUUUGUGUACAACUCAGGUUGUCAAUCAGCUAACAACACAUCAUAUUUGUGUGAGCGUGCUAUUCUUGCACCUACCAAUGAUGUUGUUUCUAAAAUAAAUGACAAAAUGAUCGCUCAGCUAACAACGAGUGAAAUGGCAUAUUAUAGUGCAGAUUCAAUUGAUGAUAGUUGUCCUAAUCAAUCUACUCUAGAAGCAUUAUAUCCAACAGAGUUCCUAAACAAAAUUGAAAUACCGGGACUUCCAGACCAUGCAUUACAUUUGAAAAUUGGUGUACCUAUCAUGCUUCUGCGUAAUCUUGAUCCAUCAAGGGGACUAUGUAAUGGUACUAGACUCAUUGUUACACAACUAACUGGCUGUGUCAUAGAUGGACAAAUCAUAACAGGAAAAGCUAUAGGUUCAAAGGUAUAUAUUCCUUGGAUUGUCACUACGUCAGCUCAAUCUAAGUGGCCUUUCAAAUUGAGGCGUCGCCAGUUUCCUAUUCGCCUCUCAUACGCUAUGACAAUAAACAAAAGUCAAGGGCAAACACUAAACCGAGUUGGUGUCUACUUACCAUCUCCUGUCUUCUCCCAUGGCCAAUUAUAUGUAGCAUUUUCAAGGGUUACAUCACCAGAUGGUUUGCGGGUUCUGAUUGAAAAUAGCCCUGUUUCUUAUGAGCACUGCAUGCAUAAUGUAGUGUAUGCAGAAGUUUUUAGUCAAAUUAAUAGGCGCAGAAGCUAA
RNAcentral lists this ribosomal RNA (912 nucleotides) under Triticum aestivum (bread wheat). Its description in RNAcentral is "partial small subunit ribosomal RNA". Lineage: Eukaryota; Viridiplantae; Streptophyta; Magnoliopsida; Poales; Poaceae. The record is from RNAcentral.